This is a small nucleolar RNA of Polyodon spathula (Mississippi paddlefish), 208 nucleotides long. RefSeq annotates it as small nucleolar RNA U3. Lineage: Eukaryota; Metazoa; Chordata; Actinopteri; Acipenseriformes; Polyodontidae. The record is from RefSeq and is a predicted model, not a curated record. The transcript has a single exon.
AAGGCAAUACUUUCAGGGAUCACGUCUAUAGUGCUUUGAUAGUGAAAUGCAUUUCUAGAGUGUUUGGUCUCACUGUCCAUGAGGAAGAGUGAGAGUGUUUGCUUCUGAGCAUGAGGGAGACAGCGAUUAUUGUUUUUUGUCAACUGAUCGCUGUUAUUGAUGACGGUUUGCUUAGGGGGCUGGAGGAAGCAGACGUGUUCUGAGUGAG